RNAcentral lists this ribosomal RNA (528 nucleotides) under bacterium HWTT. RNAcentral's name for it is "bacterial SSU rRNA". It matches the Rfam family "Bacterial small subunit ribosomal RNA", at positions 65 to 641 of the family's 1533-position model. The record is from RNAcentral.
AGCGCCCCGCAAGGGGAGCGGCAGACGGGUGAGUAACGCGUGGGAACGUACCUUUUGCUACGGAAUAACUCAGGGAAACUUGUGCUAAUACCGUAUGUGCCCGAAAGGGGAAAGAUUUAUCGGCAAAGGAUCGGCCCGCGUUGGAUUAGCUAGUUGGUGAGGUAAAGGCUCACCAAGGCGACGAUCCAUAGCUGGUCUGAGAGGAUGAUCAGCCACACUGGGACUGAGACACGGCCCAGACUCCUACGGGAGGCAGCAGUGGGGAAUAUUGGACAAUGGGCGCAAGCCUGAUCCAGCCAUGCCGCGUGAGUGAUGAAGGCCCUAGGGUUGUAAAGCUCUUUCACCGGUGAAGAUAAUGACGGUAACCGGAGAAGAAGCCCCGGCUAACUUCGUGCCAGCAGCCGCGGUAAUACGAAGGGGGCUAGCGUUGUUCGGAUUUACUGGGCGUAAAGCGCACGUAGGCGGACUUUUAAGUCAGGGGUGAAAUCCCGGGGCUCAACCCCGGAACUGCCUUUGAUACUGGAAGUC